CAGUCGCCACGGUAAUACGGAGGGUGCAAGCGUUAAUCGGAAUUACUGGGCGUAAAGCGUGCGUAGGCGGUUUGUUAAGUCUGCUGUGAAAUCCCCGGGCUCAACCUGGGAAUGGCAGUGGAUACUGGCAAGCUAGAGUGUGUCAGAGGAUGGUGGAAUUCCCGGUGUAGCGGUGAAAUGCGUAGAGAUCGGGAGGAACAUCAGUGGCGAAGGCGGCCAUCUGGGACAACACUGACGCUGAGGCACGAAAGCGUGGGGAGCAACCAGGAUUAGAUACCCCCGUAGUCCCUGUCUCUUAUAC
Molecule: ribosomal RNA, 301 nt
Filed under: uncultured bacterium
Lineage: Bacteria
Description: partial 16S ribosomal RNA
Rfam family: Bacterial small subunit ribosomal RNA
Source: RNAcentral